Molecule: ribosomal RNA, 293 nt
Filed under: uncultured bacterium
Lineage: Bacteria
Description: partial 16S ribosomal RNA
Rfam family: Bacterial small subunit ribosomal RNA
Source: RNAcentral
CCUACGGGACGCAGCAGUGAGGAAUAUUGGUCAAUGGGCGGGAGCCUGAACCAGCCAAGUCGCGUGAGGGAAGACGGUCCUAUGGAUUGUAAACCUCUUUAGGCGGGGAGCAAUGCCGGGCACGUGUGCCCGGAGGGAGAGUACCCGCAGUAUAAGCAUCGGCUAACUCCGUUCCAUCAGCCGCGGUAAUACGGUGGAUGCGAGCGUUAUCCUGAUUUAUUGGGUUUAAAGGGUGCGUAGGCGGAUUUUUAAGUCAGCGGUAAAAUGUCCGGGCUCAACCCGUGCCGGCCGUU